Long non-coding RNA from Anolis carolinensis (green anole), 851 nucleotides. RefSeq lists it as uncharacterized. The record is from RefSeq and is a predicted model, not a curated record. NCBI's taxonomy places the organism in Eukaryota, Metazoa, Chordata, Lepidosauria, Squamata, Anolidae. The transcript is spliced from 3 exons.
UUGAGUACUUCAAACUGAGUGAACCUUAAUGAUUUCUCUGAUAUCACUGCAGGGGAUUGAUCAUCUAUAACCUUCCUACUUUCAUGAAUUCACAAGGCAUGCUAGACUUAGGGAUGUUAAAAGUGCUACUACAUAUAUGAUUUGAUAUAUGACUCUUAGGAUUAGAACCUGUAGCGGAUGAUAGAAAAAAAGGAGAAUCCAACUGUUUGCCAUUGCUUUGUGGUCUUGAUGGAACCUGCCUUUCACCUGUUCUUUGCCCUUCAGAGUAUAAAAUUUUUUAAAGCAAUCAGAAGAAAAGUUAAGCAAAUCUUCCAUAUUUAGGGGUAUUCUUAUAUCACGAGUGGGAAUAAUGCGACCCUUCAGAUUUGUUGACCAUCAUCGCCAGUGAUGAGCAAUUCUGGGAGCUGUUGUCUAAGAACAGGAGAGCCAUACAAUUUCCACCCCUGUGUUAUAGCAAGCAAAAAGUACAUGUUAUAAACAAAGAAACAAGCACUGUUUAAGAAUGAACGGGCCUUCAAGCAAGCAUGGUAGGUUGAACUGGAGCAGCCAUAUCUAGCAACAGGGGUGUUCUUGUGGGGGAAAAUCUUGGGCCACCACAUUUUUGCGUUUGUGGGUGUAGAAUCAGACCCCUCUCUGAGUGCCAUGAACUGCAUUCCAAAUUGACUAUGAUACUAAACAGAGAAAUGUCUUCUUAUGGAUUUAACUUCCGACAAUGUUGUUACUUACUUCUCAGCAUUCCUUCAUUCCUGACCUUGGACUGGAAUACUUUAUGACACGGAUUUACUUCUUGCUGGCAUUGCUUAUCUGGACCACUGCCUUCUGAUCUUGUUGAUGACCACCAUCUUGCUUCU